CUACGGGGGGCAGCAGUGAGGAAUAUUGCACAAUGGGGGGAACCCUGAUGCAGCAACGCCGCGUGGAGGAUGACGCAUUUCGGUGUGUAAACUCCUUUUAUAUGUCAAGAAAAUGACGGUAGCAUAUGAAUAAGCACCGGCUAACUCCGUGCCAGCAGGCCGCGGUAAUACGGAGGGUGCAAGCGUUACUCGGAAUCACUGGGCGUAAAGGACGCGUAGGCGGGUUGGAAAGUCAGGUGUGAAAUCCUACAGCUUAACUGUAGAACUGCACUUGAAACUUCUAAUCUAGAGUAUGGGAGGGGGAGAUGGAAUUAGUGGUGUAGGGGUAAAAUCCGUAGAUAUCACUAGGAAUACCUAAAGCGAAGGCGAUCUCCUGGAACAUUACUGACGCUAAGGCGUGAAAGCGUGGGGAGCAAACAGGAUUAAAUACCCCUGUAGUC
This 440-nucleotide ribosomal RNA is filed under the name uncultured bacterium. Its description in RNAcentral is "partial 16S ribosomal RNA". It matches the Rfam family "Bacterial small subunit ribosomal RNA", at positions 339 to 795 of the family's 1533-position model. The record is from RNAcentral.